UCCUGGCUCAGGACGAACGCUGGCGGCGCGCYUAACACAUGCAAGUCGAGCGAUGAAAGUGGAACUGAUUCCUUCGGGAUGACGAUUCACCGGAUUAGCGGCGAACGGGUGAGUAACGCGUGAGAAACCUACCUAUCACAAGGGGAUAGCCUCGGGAAACUGGGAUUAAUACCCUAUGAGACUCCAGUGUCGAGUGACACAGAAGUUAAAGUGAUUUAGCGGUGAUAGAUGGUCUCGCGUCUGAUUAGCUAGUUGGUAAGGUAMCGGCUUACCAAGGCAACGAUCAGUAACCGGCCUGAGAGGGUGAACGGUCACAUUGGAACUGAGACACGGUCCAAACUCCUACGGGAGGCAGCAGUGGGGAAUCUUGCACAAUGGAGGCAACUCUGAUGCAGCGACGCCGCGUGAGCGAUGAAGGCUUUCGAGUCGUAAAGCUCUGUCCUAUGGGAAGAUAAUGACGGUACCAUAGGAGGAAGCCCCGGCUAACUACGUGCCAGCAGCCGCGGUAAUACGUAGGGGGCGAGCGUUGUCCGGAAUUACUGGGCGUAAAGGGUUCGCAGGCGGUUUGGCAAGUCUGGUGUAAAAGGCAAGGGCUCAACCCUUGUAAGCAUCGGAAACUGUCAAACUUGAGUAAAGGAGAGGUAAGUGGAAUUCCUAGUGUAGCGGUGGAAUGCGUAGAUAUUAGGAGGAAUACCAGUGGCGAAGGCGACUUACUGGACUUUAACUGACGCUA
Molecule: ribosomal RNA, 733 nt
Filed under: uncultured feedlot manure bacterium B90
Lineage: Bacteria; Bacillati; Bacillota
Description: bacterial SSU rRNA
Rfam family: Bacterial small subunit ribosomal RNA
Source: RNAcentral